GAUAAACGCUGGCGGCGUGCAUGAGACAUGCAAGUCGAACGGACGAAUGGGCUUGCUCAUUCGUUAGUGGCGGACGGCUGAGUAACGCGUAGGUGACCUGCCCCGAAGUGGGGAAUAACUGCCCGAAAGGGUGGCUAAUACCGCAUGUGGUGAUGCGUUCAUUCACAUCAUCAAAGCCGCAAGGCGCUUCGGGAGGGGCCUGCGUCCGAUUAGCUCGUUGGUGGGGUAACGGCUCACCAAGGCGACGAUCGGUAGGUGGUCUGAGAGGAUGAUCACCCAGACUGGGACUGAGACACGGCCCAGACUCCUACGGGAGGCAGCAGUCGGGAAUUUUGCUCAAUGGGCGCAAGCCUGAAGCAGCAACGCCGCGUGAGGGAUGAAGGCCUUCGGGUUGUAAACCUCUUUUGACAGGGACGAUGAUGACGGUACCUGUCGAAUAAGUCACGGCUAACUACGUGCCAGCCGCCGCCGUA
Molecule: ribosomal RNA, 473 nt
Filed under: uncultured bacterium
Lineage: Bacteria
Description: bacterial SSU rRNA
Rfam family: Bacterial small subunit ribosomal RNA
Source: RNAcentral